CCUUUUGUAUAAUGGGUCAGCGACUUAUAUUCUGUAGCAAGGUUAACCGAAUAGGGGAGCCGAAGGGAAACCGAGUCUUAACUGGGCGUUAAGUUGCAGGGUAUAGACCCGAAACCCGGUGAUCUAGCCAUGGGCAGGUUGAAGGUUGGGUAACACUAACUGGAGGACCGAACCGACUAAUGUUGAAAAAUUAGCGGAUGACUUGUGGCUGGGGGUGAAAGGCCAAUCAAACCGGGAGAUAGCUGGUUCUCCCCGAAAGCUAUUUAGGUAGCGCCUCGUGAAUUCAUCUCCGGGGGUAGAGCACUGUUUCGGCAAGGGGGUCAUCCCGACUUACCAACCCGAUGCAAACUGCGAAUACCGGAGAAUGUUAUCACGGGAGACACACGGCGGGUGCUAACGUCCGUCGUGAAGAGGGAAACAACCCAGACCGCCAGCUAAGGUCCCAAAGUCAUGGUUAAGUGGGAAACGAUGUGGGAAGGCCCAGACAGCCAGGAUGUUGGCUUAGAAGCAGCCAUCAUUUAAAGAAAGCGUAA
Molecule: ribosomal RNA, 533 nt
Filed under: Escherichia coli
Lineage: Bacteria; Pseudomonadati; Pseudomonadota; Gammaproteobacteria; Enterobacterales; Enterobacteriaceae
Description: partial 23S ribosomal RNA
Rfam family: Bacterial large subunit ribosomal RNA
Source: RNAcentral